UUGCCCAACGGGGCUGUGGAUAGCUGCUUUUUAAUUCUU
RNAcentral lists this non-coding RNA (39 nucleotides) under Lemur catta (Ring-tailed lemur). Its description in RNAcentral is "XIST RNA A repeat". It matches the Rfam family "XIST RNA A repeat". Lineage: Eukaryota; Metazoa; Chordata; Mammalia; Primates; Lemuridae. The record is from Rfam by way of RNAcentral.